UGGGGAGGGAGAAGGGCGAGAUUAUUAGAUUUUUUCAAAAAACAGUUGCCUUUGAAUUACUCCGACUCUGAAAGACACCUCUCUCCUGUGUGUGCCUGUGUGUGUGUGUGUGUGUUUCUUGUAAAUAUAUGCGAAUGGUGGGUGCUCGUGUCAGUCAUUUACAGGGGCAGUUUAUUGAUGUUGAAUCGCCUGUUCGGUUGGUGAAAAGGUCGAGUGACAGUAAGGAUGGAAUGAGAGGGAGAGAGGGAGAGAGAGGGAGAGGGGAGGGGAAAGGGGGCAGGUGGUGGUGGGUCGGGAGUUUACCGGUUUGAGCUUUUUGCCGUUGGCCUCCCGGGCUCGGAGCCUCUGCAGCAGCUCUUUGACCGUGGUCUUCACGCGGACGCCCUGGUACACCCUCGUCUUACCUGCAUGGGAGAAGAGAACAGCAUGGCGCCCAUGCUUACAAAGGAGAAGACAAUAACAGACAACGACUCCGCUCUUCUCCAGCCCCACGCUCCUCAGGCCCCUCCUCCAUCCCCCGCCAUCAACGUGCUUUCUUCCCUUAUGCUCAAAACAUUAAAAAAAAAAAAAAAGAAAUGUCCCGCAUCACUUUUUUCUUCUUCCACUCUAACUCUCCACGACAUGACAGUGUCGCUCCAAUGUCCCCGACGCAAUGUUGAAUGCCAGACUUUUUUUUUUUAAGUUGGCAAACUUUGGUAACACAAACAGCAUGUUAUAAUAAACAAUAUAUUGAUUGAACUAUGUUUGGUGAUUCAGUGUCCACAGUUUUGUUUGAAUAAUCUGUGCGUAAAAGCGCAUUAUCAGCGCCCAACGCGCGCCUUGACUCUGGGUACUUUUCGGCCGCUUGCCCCCGUCUCAGCCCCCCACAGGGCUCCCGACGGGGCUCGCUCUUCGCGGCAGGGCUCGGCGUCUCCCAUUACGCCGUCAGCCGGCUCGUUUGCUGCUCCCUGUGCGUUCGCGUGUGUGUUCUGCGCUCACGAGCCUCGGCGUCCGGACGAGGAACAAAAAAAGGAAAAGCGGUACACAAUGCGCCACCGAGAAAAAGCUGCAAUGCAAAAAAAAGCUGACAUCCUGAUGAAAAUCCGACGUGAAAACUCACCAGACAUGAUGGCAGAGGUGAAGAGAGGCUCCCUGGAGAAGACCUGUGGGACUCCACAACGUCCUUUUCUGCCUCAGCUUAAUGGCCAAGAACGAAAAUUGUGCAAAAGUCUCCAAAAAUCUAAACACAAAUGUGUUCCAGCCGAGUCAGAGCAUACAGCAAUAUUGUAAUAUAGCUGUGGACAUAUUAGUUUGAGAUUUUCUGCCUCCAUGCCUACUAUUUAAAACCCCUAGAACUCAUUGAUUUGACAAUGAUUUGAUUGCGCGUUACUUUCAAUUUGAAUAUUCAGAGGCAACCGAGUUAUAUCGAUUUUUCAGCAAAAAUCAUCACGCAUGGACACUAUAUAGGCUCCACUUUAAUGUAAUAUAUCAGUAUUUCACACCUUGACCGAAAAGAAACCAUACUUUUAUUAAUUUUAUCCUCCUUUUGCAAUAUCAGAGCAUCACACCCCCCUCAUUAGGCACUACAGCACUGUGUGCAUUUGCGCAGCUUUAACAGCGCAAAUGCACCUUAUUUGUGCGCACACGCGUGUGCCGGGGUCCCCCUGCGUGUCGGGGACAUUUAGAAACGCAAUUUUAAACUUUAUUUCAGAGAAUAACGCCAAAAAGUGGUGAAGAAGUGGGCGUGGCAAAGGACAGUAGCCAUCUUUGGCACUGCAGGCCCUGAGCUCCACUGCAGCAAGUGCUCGUGAGCACUCACCUGCCGAGGGGCUGCGCUGGACGAGGGGGGGAACGACAGGUCCGCAGCUCCUCCGACGUUCACUCUGAUCAAUGUUUAGUCACCGAACAGACACAUUAAUCCCCACUGCUGUGGAUAAUUUCUACACUUUGUCAAUCGCAUGUCUGUAGAUAAGUAAUAACGCCUCCAUAAACCGGCACCGAAUCACUUCCAAUUUGUCAUGGUUAAACAAAACGGGAACAUCUACAAUUGUAUCAACGUGUUUGUGAUUUAGUCAUGUCAUUCAUAUAAAUUUAUAGAAUUUACGAUUUUUUUAAAGAACUAUAUACCAGACCGCAACAAUACACAUGGUCAUCUAUAAAAUAUUACAGUUAACCUUUAUGAAAAAAAAAAUAUAUGAUGUGGUCCGCAAUAGAUAAGUGACUUUAUGAUCAUAAAAUUACAGCAAAUUAAAAACUUUUUAAAAAAAUGAUUUAUUUAUUUAUUUAUUGGAAGAACUUUCUGCGCACCAUGCAGACCGUAUUGCGGUAAGCCUUUAGUAUUUGUUUUUAUAACGUGGUCCGCACGAGAUAAAUGACUUAAUGAUCAGAAAUUACAGCAAAUUACAAACAUUAAAAAAAAAUAAAUAUAAUUUUAUCUAACUUAUUCAACCACCUGUGGACACCUGGAGCUACUGUCUCUCUCUGGCGGGUCAAAGGCUCCUCAAAUAAGUCAUGGUGUGUUUAAGUUCGCUGUAACUGUGAUUAUUCUUAUGAAUGAAUACCCACGGUAAACGUGAUCAAUGUCAUCAGUUGGUCGUGGUAACAUCCACACUCCAUGAGGGAAAAAUGCAACACGGUUGACCGGCAUCGCAUGUCUGUUGUUCACAUUCCUACUGCUGUUUUUUUUUUGGGGGGGGGGGGGUCACAUCAAGCACUUUUCACAGAGCUCUCCGCGCAUCGCGCGCGCACCGGGCUCCCUCAGCCCUGCUCUCUGCUCGCCAUUACGGACACGUCGGCCUCCCUCCGUGCGCCCGCAGCUCGGCGGCUCCUCUCCUCUCCGCCCGCUGCGGCGGCAUUGCGCGGGCGCCACCUAGUGCUCAAAGAGAAGCACGUCGUUACGCUGGAACAUUUUGGCGUAGUAGGAAAUUUGUGGAAAAAAUUGAACCCCUCUCUCUUUCUUUAUGAAGCCAUAAUAAAGUGAGCCUGAGUGUUA
This is a long non-coding RNA of Scophthalmus maximus (turbot), 2971 nucleotides long. RefSeq lists it as uncharacterized. NCBI's taxonomy places the organism in Eukaryota, Metazoa, Chordata, Actinopteri, Pleuronectiformes, Scophthalmidae. The record is from RefSeq and is a predicted model, not a curated record. The transcript has 2 exons.